CCCUAAUCUGAAGAACCCUAAAUCGUAGGAGUCUCAUGCGAUUCUGUUAGUGUUACGGAAUCUAUUUGGUGCCUACGUCGUCAAACUCUUAAUCGAUUUGGUGCCUGCGAGAAGAACUCUUAUCGAUUUGGUGCUCGCGAUUCCUCUCAGUUGAAGAACUCUAAGUUGAAGGUGAUUCUCUUCUAGUGUUACAGAGUUGGAGCGAUUUCUCUCAGUAAAAGAACCGUAAGUCCAAGGUGAUUCUCUUCUAGUGUUUAUGCGGUGCAAUUUCUCUCAGUCGAAGAACCCUAAAAGGAAGGUUGUUGUGUUCAACCAGCGCCAUUGAUUCAUUGUCAUUCCCUUCCCCAUUGUUAUUUCUGUGAAGGAAGAACCAACCUGAUUUGAGAAGUUCUAAAGAAGCAGUGGUGCCUUCAAAUAUGGAUAUGAGAGUUUUAGUGUUUUUAUAAUUAUGAUGGGAUGACUGUUGAGAGAUUAGUGGACCCAAAUAAAUUAGUGGAAAUGGUAAAUGAUAUUUACAAUACAGUUAUUGUGCAUGCUGCCCUUGUAGGACACAAAGUGAGAUUCAAUGUCAAAUGUUUAUUACAAGAUGGAAAAACUGAGUUUGAAGUGCAUGAUGACAAUAUGUUUUGAAGUUGUUUCCUUUGAAUGAAAAACUGAAUUGCAUUGAUUUGCAUGUGUGUAACCUAUCUAUGGAUAAGUACCCAACCAAGGACUACACCAUUAAUGGUUACCUUGAGUACUGUAGUUACCAAGGAUAUGCAAACUAGUAUGGAAUUCCAACAUAGUAGGAUUAAUGUUGUUGGCACUGAUGAAUACACCAUUAAUGCUGUGAAUACUGGGACUUCUAGGCAUGAAAAGGAACCUGUUAUGUUGAGUGGUACUCCAUCCAGGGAUUUGAUUGUGCCAUUUGGUACUAGUGGAACCACUACUGCAAUUAGAAGAGCUAAUAGUAGGUCUCUUCAUACUAUUGGAACUAAAUUCACAGCCCAUUGGGGUUGCUAGUAACAUUGCAUCCAUUUCUAACAAUGACACUAUGGAAACUGAUUUUGAAUUGAAUGAUGAUGAUGAGGAGGAUAGUGAUUUUGAAUGUGAAGAAGAUUAUGAAAAAGAAAUUUGUGAAAGUGAUGAGGAUGAUACAUCACUUGAUGAGGAUUAUGCACAGGAUGAUUUAAGAGAAGGCUAUGAUGUAGAUGGCACAGAGGAUGGUGGAAAUAUGUCAUAUUACAACUCAGAUGACUGUCCUCCACCAGAUUGCAGACAGUAUCACAUGAAUGAAGCUGGGAGAGUACACUUGAAAGCAGGACAAAUGUUUCAUGAUGUGGACCAUUUUAGGAGUGUCCUACAGGAUUAUAUUAUACAAGAGGGUUUUAAAGUUUUGAGGCCAAAAGAUGAGAAGGCCAGAGUGACAGUUAUUUGUGCAGGUGAUCGAUGCAAAUGGAGGAUUCAUGCCUCACCUAUUGAGGAAAAGGAUACAUAUAUGAUCAAGUCAUUAACUCCUGGGCAUUCAUGUGUGAAAGUUACUAAAAAUCCAAAUGUAACUUCAACUUGGAUUGCAAAGACACUUGCUGACAGGAUAAGGAUAGAGCUUGAGAUGAAUACUAAAAUCAUGGUGACAAAUUUAUGAGAGACUUAUGAUAUUAAAGUAAACAGAAUGCAAUGCUAUAGGGCGGGAUUGAGAGCUAAGGUAGAACAUAAAGGUAGCCAUCUGAAGUCAUAUACAAGAUUGCACAGGUAUGGUGAGGUAUUGAGAGAGAGGAACCCGGGCACUGUGUUCAAGAUACAAUAUUAUGAUAGAUAUGACUUGAGAAGAAACCAUGUUUUUAAAAGGGCAUUUGUUUGCAUUGAAGUAUGUAAGGGAGGAUUUCUGAUUGGUUGCAGACCCUUCUUAGGUAUAGAUGGCUAUCAUUUGAAAGGCAGAUAUGGUGGAGUAUUGUUGGUUGCAGUUUUAGUUGAUGGGAACAAUGGACUGUUUCUGAUUGCAUUUGGUGUGGUGGAAAUAGAGAACAAGGAAUGUUGGUUGUGGUUUCUUUACAAUUUGUAUAUUGCCUUGCAAUUGGAUGGGAAUGAGAAUGGUCUGACAUUCAUGCCAGACAAGCGAAAGGGACUUGCAGAUGCAAUUGUUGAUAUCUUUCUAGGAGCACGUCAUAGGAAUUGCAGCAAGCAUCUCUACUGCAAUUUCAAAGGGAACAUAUCCUGGACUACUGUUGAAGUCUCUUUUUUGGACUGCAUCUAGGGCUCCUAAUGAAUGUAUUUUCCAUAAAGCAAUGAAACAGAUAAAGGAUACCAACACUGGUGCAUUUGACUGGUUGUCCAAGGUUAAUCCAUCUACAUGGUCAAGACACGCAUUUGAUUUCAAGUCCAAGAGUGAUCAUAUCACCAAUAACAUGAUAGAGUGUUUCAACCAAUGGAUAGGAUGUUUGAGAACAAAGCCAAUCUUGACUUUGAUUGACCACCUCAGAUUUAAAUUGAUGAAAAGAAUGCAGAAAAGGUAUGAGAAUUCUUUCAGCUUUGUGGGUAAAGUAACUCCAAAUAUAAUGAAGAAGUUGAGAAUAGUUAAGGAAGAUUCAAGAUUCUGUACUACUCUGGCAGCUAGUCAGGAUGAGUUUGAAGUAAUAGAAGGUAGGUCAAGGUUUGUUGUUUGUUUGAGAGCUGGGACCUAUAGUUUUCAAGUAUAGGAUGCAACAGAGAUACCUUGUAAGCAUGUGGCAGCAACCAUCUCAUGUAAUUGGGGAAAUCUUGAAGAUUACUGUGACAUUCUAUAGUAUAGUCUAUACAGGCUUGCCCACAGGGAGAUAAUUCAUCUUAUGCUAGAUCUUGACCUAUUGAAAACUGAUAUUGGACAAGGUGUGGUACAACCUCCUCCGCUGAAGAUGCUUCCAGGUAGACCCAAAAAAAAUAGGAAGAGGGAACUUGGUGAAGCAGCUCCACUAGAAUUCAGGAAGAAAUCUUCUACAAUUAGGUGUGACAUAUGUAAAUUGGAAUGACAUAACAAAAGAACUUGUCAAAGAGAUUCUGACCAACCAGUUCCUAAAAAUAAGAGGAAGCAAACAAAUAUAGAGGAAGUGGAAGAAAUCAAUACUUCUCAAAGAUUCACAAGGUCUCAGACAUCUUCUACGGCCACCAAUGAUACAGCCCGGCAAAGAAAAGAGAAAAAAUGGCUGCUGAGAGGGCAAGGAGGGUAGCAAGAAAGAAUGGUGCUGGAGCUAGAGCUGGUGGUGCUAGAGUUGGUGGUGCUGAAGCUGGUGGUUCAGGAGCUGGUGGUUCAAGAUCUGGAGUUGGUGGUUCAGGAGUUGGAGUUGGUUUUCAUGGUUCAGGAGCUGGUGGUUCAGGAGCUGGUGGCAAUGACAGAGUUGACCCAUAUUUUGGAUGAGAUAAUAGACUCAUAUUUUGAUGUUUGAAAAUAUUAGCAGUUGUAAUACCAGUAUACAGUAUACAUGGUUAUGUAAUCCUGAUUUUCGAAGGAUAUGGUCAAUCUUGACUUUUUUGGUUUGCUUCUUUGGAUGUUUAAGAAUUGUGAACUUCUUGAUAUCAGUAUGCAGCAUGCAUGGCUAUGUAAUCUUGUUUGGAUGUUGGUGAUAUUUUGGUAAUAUCAGUAUGCAUUGUUAUUUA
Long non-coding RNA from Macadamia integrifolia, 3609 nucleotides. RefSeq lists it as uncharacterized. The transcript is spliced from 5 exons. Lineage: Eukaryota; Viridiplantae; Streptophyta; Magnoliopsida; Proteales; Proteaceae. The record is from RefSeq and is a predicted model, not a curated record.